CAGGUAGCUCAGUCGGUAGAGCAGUGGACUGAAAAUCCUCGUGUCGGUGGUUCGAUUCCGCCCCUGG
This 67-nucleotide transfer RNA is filed under the name uncultured Luminiphilus sp. It matches the Rfam family "tRNA". From Rfam's summary of the family: Transfer RNA (tRNA) molecules are approximately 80 nucleotides in length. Their secondary structure includes four short double-helical elements and three loops (D, anti-codon, and T loops). The record is from RNAcentral. Lineage: Bacteria; Pseudomonadati; Pseudomonadota; Gammaproteobacteria; Cellvibrionales; Halieaceae. RNAcentral also lists the same sequence under 1 other name.